Fundulus heteroclitus (mummichog) is the source of this 425-nucleotide long non-coding RNA. RefSeq lists it as uncharacterized. The transcript has 4 exons. Lineage: Eukaryota; Metazoa; Chordata; Actinopteri; Cyprinodontiformes; Fundulidae. The record is from RefSeq and is a predicted model, not a curated record.
GGUCAGUCAUUGUUACUGCAAGUAAAUUUCUUCUAAUUCCAAGAUGGCCAACAAACAGCAACCUCUGUCGACCACUGCUGGCAUAUCCUCUCAAUCCUUUUAUAGUAGAAGAGCCCAACAGGACAUCUCCCCCUGCUGCCAGGACCUGUCAAGCAGGAGCAUCUCAAAGUAAAGAGGUGAAAGGACACCAAUUAGAAAGCCAUCCACGGCUAAGAGAGCCAGUGGCACAGCUUGCCACAGGAAGUGGGAUAUCUGACUUCCUGCAUGGGGUCACAGCUGUUUGUGGGGAGGUUACUGCUACAAGCCAAUACGUGGAGGGAUCAGAGUGAGGGACUUUGCUGGAAUUAGGGGAGUAUGGUAAAGUCAAAAGAGCGGGACCGGCUCUUUUCAGCCAAGCUGUUUCAGACUCUGCAUGCAUUUGACAC